UCCCAGACUCCUACGGGAGGCAGCAGUGGGGAAUAUUGGACAAUGGGGGGAACCCUGAUCCAGCGACGCCGCGUGGGUGAAGAAGUAUUUCGGUAUGUAAAGCUCUAUCAGCAGGAACGAGACAAGACGGUACCUGACUAAGAAGCCCCGGCUAACUACGUGCCAGCAGCCGCGGUAAUACGUAGGGGGCAAGCGUUAUCCGGAAUCACUGGGUGUAAAGGGAGCGUAGACGGCUGAGCAAGCCUGAAGUGAAAGGCGGGGGCCCAACCCCCGGACUGCUUUGGGAACUGUACGGCUGGAGUGCAGGAGAGGUAAGUGGAAUUCCUAGUGUAGCGGUGAAAUGCGUAGAUAUUAGGAGGAACACCAGUGGCGAAGGCGGCUUACUGGACUGUAACUGACGUUGAGGCUCGAAAGCGUGGGGAGCAAACAGGAUUAGAUACCCCCGUA
RNAcentral lists this ribosomal RNA (447 nucleotides) under uncultured bacterium. Its description in RNAcentral is "bacterial SSU rRNA". It matches the Rfam family "Bacterial small subunit ribosomal RNA", at positions 329 to 792 of the family's 1533-position model. The record is from RNAcentral.